GCAACCAUGACUUUGGUCUCCAUCUUCAUCUGGACGCUCACCCUCUGGACUCAAGGAUCCAGUGGUCAGAUAACUGUGACUCAGACUCCUGCAGUGAAAACUGUUUCUCCAGGAGACUCAGUUACCAUCAGCUGUAGAACCAGCCCUGCCGUGUAUGCUGAUGUUGCUUUAUCCUGGUAUCAGCAGAAACCUGGAGAAGCUCCUAAACUUCUGAUCUAUUCAGCAGACACACUUGAUGAUGGUGUUCCAGCUCGUUUCAGUGGCAGUGGAUCUGGAUCUGACUUCACUCUGACCAUCAGUAAUGUCCAGACUGAAGAUGCAGGAGAUUAUUACUGUCAGAGUUUACAUGAGAUCAGUGGUAGCUACGUGUUCCCACAGUGUUUAUCUGUUCAGAACUCAGCAGCUGGAGUCCUCACUCACACUAAGCACUCUGCCCUCAUCACACCUGCUCUCCAUAACCUGCACUGCUUAUCUGCCCCUUUGUGUGGUCAAUACAGGCUGCUGCUCAUGACCUUCACAGACAUACAUGGCCUUGACCUUCAUACCUUACUAACCUCCUCCAUCUCUACACGCCAGCUGGGACACUCAGGUCUUCUGGAGCUGGUCUGA
Pygocentrus nattereri (red-bellied piranha) is the source of this 609-nucleotide non-coding RNA. The record is from the annotation of a RefSeq genome assembly. NCBI's taxonomy places the organism in Eukaryota, Metazoa, Chordata, Actinopteri, Characiformes, Serrasalmidae.